RNAcentral lists this ribosomal RNA (468 nucleotides) under uncultured bacterium. RNAcentral describes it as "partial 16S ribosomal RNA". It matches the Rfam family "Bacterial small subunit ribosomal RNA", at positions 28 to 507 of the family's 1533-position model. The record is from RNAcentral.
GACGAACGCUGGCGGCGUGCUUAACACAUGCGAGUCGAACGGAAAGGCCCUGCUUUUGUGGGGUGCUCGAGUGGCGAACGGGUGAGUAACACGUGAGUAACCUGCCCUUGACUUUGGGAUAACUUCAGGAAACUGGGGCUAAUACCGGAUAGGAGCUCCUGCUGCAUGGUGGGGGUUGGAAAGUUUCGGCGGUUGGGGAUGGACUCGCGGCUUAUCAGCUUGUUGGUGGGGUAGUGGCUUACCAAGGCUUUGACGGGUAGCCGGCCUGAGAGGGUGACCGGCCACAUUGGGACUGAGAUACGGCCCAGACUCCUACGGGAGGCAGCAGUGGGGAAUAUUGCACAAUGGGCGGAAGCCUGAUGCAGCAACGCCGCGUGCGGGAUGACGGCCUUCGGGUUGUAAACCGCUUUCGCCUGUGACGAAGCGUGAGUGAUGGUAAUGGGUAAAGAAGCACCGGCUAACUACGUG